Molecule: non-coding RNA, 90 nt
Organism: Wallemia ichthyophaga EXF-994
Lineage: Eukaryota; Fungi; Basidiomycota; Wallemiomycetes; Wallemiales; Wallemiaceae
Source: the annotation of a RefSeq genome assembly
GCAUUAAUGGGGUAGUGGUAACCUCGAUCGUUGCCAUCUGGUCAUUCACGAAAUUUCGAUCGGCCCCCGGUUCAAUUCCGGGUUAAUGCA